GGAAUGUAUAGAAGUAUGGAGU
This 22-nucleotide microRNA is filed under the name Cordylochernes scorpioides. The record is from RNAcentral. Lineage: Eukaryota; Metazoa; Arthropoda; Arachnida; Pseudoscorpiones; Chernetidae.